GAGGGUGCGAGCGUUGUCCGGAAUCACUGGGCGUAAAGGGCGCGUAGGUGGCGACCCAAGUCGAUGGUGAAAGCUCGCCGCUCAACGGCGAGUCGGCCACCGAUACUGGGUUGCUCGAGCACUGUAGAGGCUAAUGGAAUUCCGGGUGUAGCGGUGGAAUGCGUAGAGAUCCGGAAGAACACCGGUGGCGAAGGCGGUUAGCUGGGCAGUUGCUGACACUGAGGCGCGACAGCGUGGGGAGCAAACAGGAUUAGAUACCCUGGUAGUCCACGCCGUAAACGAUGGGCACUAGAUGCUUGGGGGAGCGACCCCCUGAGUGUCGCCGCUAACGCAUUAAGUGCCCCGCCUGGGGAGUACGGCCGCAAGGCUG
RNAcentral lists this ribosomal RNA (370 nucleotides) under uncultured organism. Its description in RNAcentral is "bacterial SSU rRNA". It matches the Rfam family "Bacterial small subunit ribosomal RNA", at positions 528 to 896 of the family's 1533-position model. The record is from RNAcentral.